Molecule: non-coding RNA, 21 nt
Filed under: Caenorhabditis elegans
Lineage: Eukaryota; Metazoa; Nematoda; Chromadorea; Rhabditida; Rhabditidae
Source: RNAcentral
UGGGAAACAAAAAUUCAAACG